This 620-nucleotide ribosomal RNA is filed under the name uncultured archaeon. RNAcentral describes it as "bacterial SSU rRNA". It matches the Rfam family "Archaeal small subunit ribosomal RNA", at positions 52 to 675 of the family's 1478-position model. The record is from RNAcentral.
UGCAAGUUAAAUGUUUUUCGUAAACAUAGCGAACUGCUCAGUAACACGUGGAUAACUUAACCUUAGGUCCGGCAUAACCCCGGGAAACUGGGGAUAAUUCCGGAUGUAUCAAGGAUGCUGGAAUGCCCUUUGGUUCAAAGCUUUUGUGCCUAGGAUAGGUCUGCGGUCUAUCAGGUUGUAGUGGGUGUAACGUACCUACUAGCCGACGACGGAUACGGGUUGUGAGAGCAAGAGCCCGGAGAUGGAUUCUGAGACAAGAAUCCAGGCCCUACGGGGUGCAGCAGGCGCGAACACUUUACAAUGCGGGAAACCGCGAUAAGGGAACCCCGAGUGCCAGUACUAAGUGCUGGCUGUCUAGAUGAAUAGAUAUCAUUUAAUAGCAAGGGCCGGGCAAGACCGGUGCCAGCCGCCGCGGUAACACCGGCGGCCCGAGUGGUAACCGAUAUUAUUGGGUCUAAAGGGUCCGUAGCCUGUUUAAUAAGUCCUUUGGGAAAUCUGGCAGCUUAACUGUCAGGCUGCUAAAGGAUACUGUUAAACUUGGGACCGGUAGACGUAGGGGGUACUCCAGGGGUAGGAGUGAAAUCUUGUAAUCCCUGGGGGACCAUCUGUGGCGAAGGCGC